RNAcentral lists this ribosomal RNA (352 nucleotides) under Bacteroidota bacterium. RNAcentral's name for it is "Bacteroidetes bacterium (freshwater sediment metagenome) partial 23S ribosomal RNA". It matches the Rfam family "Bacterial large subunit ribosomal RNA", at positions 2559 to 2925 of the family's 2925-position model. Lineage: Bacteria; Pseudomonadati; Bacteroidota. The record is from RNAcentral.
AAGGUCCCAAGGGUUGGGCUGUUCGCCCAUUAAAGUGGCACGCGAGCUGGGUUCAGAACGUCGUGAGACAGUUCGGUCCCUAUCUGUUGUGGGCGCUGGAGAUUUGAGAGGACCUGACGCUAGUACGAGAGGACCGCGUUGGACUGACCGCUAGUGUACCUGUUGUGGCGCCAGCUGCAUUGCAGGGUAGCUAUGUCGGGAUGAGAUAAGCGCUGAAAGCAUCUAAGCGCGAAGCUCACCUCAAGAUGAGAUCUCCUUUAAGGGCCGUAGGAGACUACUACGUUGAUAGGCUGCAGGUGUAAAGGCGGUAACGUCAAAGCCGAGCAGUACUAAUUGCCCGAAGACUUUCAGU